RNAcentral lists this unclassified non-coding RNA (470 nucleotides) under Hevea brasiliensis (rubber tree). Lineage: Eukaryota; Viridiplantae; Streptophyta; Magnoliopsida; Malpighiales; Euphorbiaceae. The record is from RNAcentral.
GCUCCCAAGUCUUAUUUUGCUCCAAAGCAGCUAUCUCAGCAUGCAUAGCUUUUCUCCAACAAUCAUGCUUAACAGCCUGAGAAUAUGACUUAGGUUCGACUAUAGUGGAAGUAGAUAAAACAAAAUGUCUAUAAUUUGGAGAUAAAGAAUCUUAUGAAAGGACUUGAGAAAUGGGAUAAAGAAUACUUGGACCUGUAGUAGUUGGAGCUGCAGAUGUUAAAUUGCAAUGGUAAUCCUGCAAAUAGGAUGGUGGCCUUCUAGUCCUAGCAGAAUGCCUGGAAAUAGGUGUGUCAUUCGUGGUGGUGUGAGAAAUGGACUGUGAAGGUGAUGAGGAGGAUGAGAGAUGAGAUGACGAAAAGAGAAAAUCAUAAUCACAAAUUGUAGUAUCUAAGGGAAUAGGAACUGAAAAUGUAGAAGGAGGAAAAGUUUGAGACUUAUAGGGAAAAACAGACUGAUAAAAAAUAACAUGU